CUUCUUCUUUUUCUUUUCUUCUUUCUUUGUAUGGGGGAUUGUAUAAUGGAUUGGGAAUUCUCAUUUUUGUCUCAGCAAGCUUUUUGCAGUGCUUAAAAUCAAUAAAUUUAGGAUUACUUAGAGUUUUAAUGAAUGAUUUGGAUUUGUGGUUUUCAAAUAGGACAGGAUUUUGCCUUGGGGGUAAAGGGUAUUUAUUCAUUUUUCUGAUUGGGUGUGAGGUAUAAUAAUGGGAAGAAGAUAACAAUGCAGAAAAACUAGUCUAAACCAUAAACAAGGCUCAAGUCUUUCCAUUUGAUAUAUGUAACUGUGCGAGUGUACCAGCUGAACGUUCUUGUGCGUUCCUAUUCUGUCAGGCCUUGAGCUUUUUAUCAUGAUCAUCAAUAUGGAAGUACGAUACAUGCUAAUAUUGGACUCAUUUGAUUUCAUAAAAUUGAGUUAACUGCAG
This 445-nucleotide unclassified non-coding RNA is filed under the name Hevea brasiliensis (rubber tree). The record is from RNAcentral. Lineage: Eukaryota; Viridiplantae; Streptophyta; Magnoliopsida; Malpighiales; Euphorbiaceae.